CCUACGGGAGGCUGCAGUGGGGAAUAUUGCACAAUGGGGGAAACCCUGAUGCAGCGACGCCGCGUGAGUGAAGAAGUAUUUCGGUAUGUAAAGCUCUAUCAGCAGGGAAGAAAUAGCGACCUUUGGGUCGCCAGACGGUACCUGACUAAGAAGCCCCGGCUAACUACGUGCCAGCAGCCGCGGUAAUACGUAGGGGGCACGCGUUAUCCGGAUUUACUGGGUGUAAAGGGAGCGUAGACGGCAGCACAAGUCUGAAGUGAAAUGCCGGGGCUCAACCGCGGCGCUACCGCCAAAACUAUUAGACUAGAGUGCAGGAGGGGUAAGUGGAAUUCCUAGUGUAGCGGUGGAAUGCGUAGAUAUUAGGAGGAACAUCAGGGGCGAAGGCGACUUACUGGACUGUAACUGACACUGAGGCACGAAAGCGUGGGGAGCAAACAGGAUUAGAUACCCCAGUAGUC
Molecule: ribosomal RNA, 458 nt
Filed under: uncultured bacterium
Lineage: Bacteria
Description: partial 16S ribosomal RNA
Rfam family: Bacterial small subunit ribosomal RNA
Source: RNAcentral